UAGUGCCUACGGGGCGCAGCAGUGGGGAAUAUUGCACAAUGGGCGCAAGCCUGAUGCAGCGACGCCGCGUGCGGGAUGGAGGCCUUCGGGUUGUAAACCGCUUUUGUUCAAGGGCAAGGCACGGUCUUUGGCCGUGUUGAGUGGAUUGUUCGAAUAAGCACCGGCUAACUACGUGCCAGCAGCCGCGGUAAUACGUAGGGUGCAAGCGUUAUCCGGAUUUAUUGGGCGUAAAGGGCUCGUAGGCGGUUCGUCGCUUCCGGUGUGAAAGUCCAUCGCUUUACGGUUGAUCCGCGCCGGGUACGUGC
RNAcentral lists this ribosomal RNA (305 nucleotides) under uncultured bacterium. RNAcentral describes it as "bacterial SSU rRNA". It matches the Rfam family "Bacterial small subunit ribosomal RNA", at positions 334 to 637 of the family's 1533-position model. The record is from RNAcentral.